UUGUAUAUCUGUUAAUUUCUUACUGAAUCUGCAUGUGUUGAUUAUAUACAUUGCUUUAAAUAGCUAAUAUUUUAUUCAUUAAUUGAGAUUUCAUAGAUUUAUGUACUUCUUACAUUUAAUAGGUAAGUUUUCUUUACAGGAUCAGUGGUAGACUAAUCCAAUAGUAAUACAUAAUGUUUCAUUGGAAAGAAAAAUCUUAAUGACAGUAAACUAUAAAUUGUCAUCAAAACUUAAUUCUUAACGUUUUUAUACCUAAAAUUAAGAUUUAAUAAUAGAGUAUAAAAGAUCAUUCUUUAUGGGUCAUUGACAUAGAGGGUAGUAUUCAAAUAUGAAUUUGUGUCUAUGAUUCAUGAUAAACUAAAUUCACCUAAACAAAUCUUAGUGAUUUACCUCAGCAUGAGGGAAAUAAAAUUCAUAAGAACCAGAAGACAAUCUGUUGAUUCUUGAAAUAAACAGCUGUCACACCUCUUCCCAAUACACCAGUGAUCACAAGAUGAUUUAUACUUGACCAUGGUUGUAUAUUUGAUUUAGCCAUGGCUACAUGUGAAUUUUGCUGAUGUGGUUUGGUUUAUAGCCACGGUGUAGAUCAAAUUGAUUUGAUAAUUUCUCCAAAUGAUGAUGGAAAAAACUCAAAAAAGCCUUAAUGCCUUCUUAGGCCUGCAUGAAUCAUUUCAUUGAGCUUUUGUGAGUAAUAGUGGACAAAUUUAUUAAAUAAGAACGGAAGAUAAAAUGUUAUAUAUGUGGAAAUGAAGACGUGAUUGAAAAAUUAAUUGAAUUGUGUGAUGCCAUGAAGCAAACUAUACGAACAAAGACAAGUGAAGGAAGAGUACAACUGCCAAUUCUAACCAAUUUGGAUACGAGGCUUCAUUGAGUUUGUUAUAUGCAUGAUAACAAUAUAGCUACUCUCAGGAUAUUUUUAAUUUUAACUAAUGUCAUUAUAACAGCUUUUGGAAAUGAUGCAAUCUUAAAUGUACAGAUUACAUUAUAGUUUUCUUUUCCUUGAAAUGCAAAAAGAAAAAGAAAACAUUGCAUCCAUCCAGUGUGAUCAACUUCAGUAAUCCCAUAACCCCUACACUUUUUUAUCUGC
RNAcentral lists this long non-coding RNA (1087 nucleotides) under Manihot esculenta (cassava). Its description in RNAcentral is "long non-coding RNA (MESC_LNC009070)". The record is from RNAcentral. Lineage: Eukaryota; Viridiplantae; Streptophyta; Magnoliopsida; Malpighiales; Euphorbiaceae.